This 403-nucleotide ribosomal RNA is filed under the name bacterium. RNAcentral's name for it is "partial 16S ribosomal RNA". It matches the Rfam family "Bacterial small subunit ribosomal RNA", at positions 355 to 776 of the family's 1533-position model. The record is from RNAcentral.
UGGGGAAUAUUGCACAAUGGGAGAAACCCUGAUGCAGCGACGCCGCGUGAACGAAGAAGGUAUUCGUAUCGUAAAGUUCUGUCCUAUGGGAAGAUAAUGACAGUACCAUAGAAGAAAGCUCCGGCUAAAUACGUGCCAGCAGCCGCGGUAAUACGUAUGGAGCGAGCGUUGUCCGGAAUUAUUGGGCGUAAAGGGUACGCAGGCGGUUUAAUAAGUCGAAUGUUAAAGAUCGGGGCUCAACCCCGCAAAGCAUUGGAAACUGAUAAACUUGAGUAGUGGAGAGGAAAGUGGAAUUCCUAGUGUAGUGGUGAAAUACGUAGAUAUUAGGAGGAAUACCAGUAGCGAAGGCGACUUUCUGGACACAAACUGACGCUGAGGUACGAAAGCGUGGGGAGCAAACAGG